UAUAUUAUAAAUUAUAAAAAAUUGAAGCAAAAAAGAACAGAACAGUGGAUCAUAGUGACUAAUGAUACAGCUCUUUUUUUAUUUUAAUUAGAUUACAUUUAUAGGUCCCAUUGAGAGAAACAAUUCUGCCAGCGCUACAUAAACUAACUGAGCUUUAACCUGAUUAUUUUUUAGCAUUACUCAACUUUUUGAAAGUUUGAGCCCUACUUGCAAUAUUAUGUUUGGACUUUAAUUAAAAAAAAUUUAGACAUGGUAGCAUGUUGGGUCACCAUCUGGCAUACAAUCAAGUCCGUCACAUUUUUUCGUUUUAAUUUGUCUAGACCUAAUGAUGCGUGUAACACAAACUCGAGAUGCAUGUUAUUCAUUGCGGCAGCGCUGGGCAACGUCAUUUAUUUAUUUAUUUAUAUUAUUUUUUUCUUAAGAUGAAAUGCUUCCGACAAUUUUAUAUUUUGCAUUACAUUUGCGGCGAAAAUAAAUAUUUGAAAAUUUAAUUUCUUGGUGUAUUUGCCAAGUAAUUAAUUAGCAAUUAUUAUUGGCUCUAAGACGUGAA
Episyrphus balteatus (marmalade hoverfly) is the source of this 550-nucleotide long non-coding RNA. RefSeq lists it as uncharacterized. The transcript has 3 exons. NCBI's taxonomy places the organism in Eukaryota, Metazoa, Arthropoda, Insecta, Diptera, Syrphidae. The record is from RefSeq and is a predicted model, not a curated record.